UAGUGACGCAGCUAACGCAAUAAGUAGACCGCCUGGGGAGUACGGCCGCAAGGUUAAAACUCAAAUGAAUUGACGGGGGCCCGCACAAGCGGUGGAGCAUGUGGUUUAAUUNGAUGCAACGCGAAGAACCUUACCUGGUCUUGACAUAUCUAGAAUCCUGCAGAGAUGCGGGAGUGCCUUCGGGAAUUAGAAUACAGGUNNUGCAUGGCNGUCGUCAGCUCGUGUCGUGAGAUGUUGGGUUAAGUCCCGCAACGAGCGCAACCCUUGUCCUUAGUUACCAGCGGUUUGGCCGGGAACUCUAAGGAUACUNCCAGUGACAAACUGGAGGAAGGCGGGGACGACGUCAAGUCAUCAUGGCCCUUACGACCAGGGNUACACACNUGCUACAAUGGUAGGUACAGAGGGCAGNUACACANCGAUGUGAUGNGAAUCUCAAAAAGCNNAUCGUAGUCCAGAUUGGAGUNUGCAACUCGACUCCAUGAAGUANGAAUCGCUAGUAAUCGCGGAUCAGAAUGCCGCGGUGAAUACGUUCCCGGGCCUUGUACACACCGCCCGUCACACCAUGGGAGUUGAUUGCACCAGAAGNGGGUA
RNAcentral lists this ribosomal RNA (591 nucleotides) under Psychrobacter sp. RNAcentral describes it as "partial 16S ribosomal RNA". It matches the Rfam family "Bacterial small subunit ribosomal RNA", at positions 841 to 1432 of the family's 1533-position model. Lineage: Bacteria; Pseudomonadati; Pseudomonadota; Gammaproteobacteria; Moraxellales; Moraxellaceae. The record is from RNAcentral.